GAUCCUGGCUCAGAUUGAACGCUGGCGGCAGGCCUAACACAUGCAAGUCGAGCGGAUGACGGGAGCUUGCUCCUGGAUUCAGCGGCGGACGGGUGAGUAAUGCCUAGGAAUCUGCCUGGUAGUGGGGGACAACGUUUCGAAAGGAACGCUAAUACCGCAUACGUCCUACGGGAGAAAGCAGGGGACCUUCGGGCCUUGCGCUAUCAGAUGAGCCUAGGUCGGAUUAGCUAGUUGGUGAGGUAAUGGCUCACCAAGGCGACGAUCCGUAACUGGUCUGAGAGGAUGAUCAGUCACACUGGAACUGAGACACGGUCCAGACUCCUACGGGAGGCAGCAGUGGGGAAUAUUGGACAAUGGGCGAGAGCCUGAUCCAGCCAUGCCGCGUGUGUGAAGAAGGUCUUCGGAUUGUAAAGCACUUUAAGUUGGGAGGAAGGGUUGUAGAUUAAUACUCUGCAAUUUUGA
This 462-nucleotide ribosomal RNA is filed under the name Pseudomonas sp. B2/9. RNAcentral's name for it is "bacterial SSU rRNA". It matches the Rfam family "Bacterial small subunit ribosomal RNA", at positions 15 to 472 of the family's 1533-position model. Lineage: Bacteria; Pseudomonadati; Pseudomonadota; Gammaproteobacteria; Pseudomonadales; Pseudomonadaceae. The record is from RNAcentral.